GGGACAUUCAGUUCAGUUCCGUUUCUUCUCCAGAGAAGGUAAUCCGUUGAGAAUGUCCUAGAGCAUCAGAGUGGUGCUGUGCCCACCUUUUUAAAGCCAAAACGUGGCUCAUUCCACGACUGACAUUU
RNAcentral lists this small nucleolar RNA (128 nucleotides) under Echinops telfairi (small Madagascar hedgehog). RNAcentral's name for it is "Small Cajal body specific RNA 24 (ENSETEG00000025916.1)". Lineage: Eukaryota; Metazoa; Chordata; Mammalia; Afrosoricida; Tenrecidae. The record is from RNAcentral.